Long non-coding RNA from Myzus persicae (green peach aphid), 731 nucleotides. RefSeq lists it as uncharacterized. NCBI's taxonomy places the organism in Eukaryota, Metazoa, Arthropoda, Insecta, Hemiptera, Aphididae. The record is from RefSeq and is a predicted model, not a curated record. The transcript is spliced from 2 exons.
CUCUACUGUAAACUGCGCCUCGGCACAUAGCAUGUAUUAUUUGUGUACAUAAUUUAUUCUCGCCUAGGGCAUCUAUCAACCUUGCCAAUUUAAUGCGAUGCCUUACUCCAAGCUAAACAACUAUUACACUUAUUCACAUCAAACGAAAAUCAAAUGACGUUUAAAUGUGCCUAGUCAUUCGUAGAGUACUUAUAUGCGUCGGCAUGUUUAAUAGCAACAAUAAUCAAAACCUUAUUACAGUAUGAUGAUUUUUUUAUUAUUCAUUUCUAACCACCACUUCCUCGACAAUAUUGGUCAUUGGCCGGGAUUGCCGUCGAAGUGUUCUCAAGAAACCUCUUUGAUCAAUUUUAUCCUGAAGCCAUUCCUAGGAAUUGAUUUUGCUGUGCCAAUAUUUUGAACGAAAAAUGUAUGUCUAUAUUAUAUAACAUGGAAAAGAAGGUCAACCAAUGAACAAUGAAUAUUUUUGAGCGAAACAAUGAUGAAAAACAACGGAAACUGCAUGUUCACAACAAAAUAACACAAAUAUUUAAAUUAAUUUACUAGGUCGUAUUAAUUAUCUCCGAUGAUGUGGUUGAAAAACUUAACGAUCUAAACGUGUUGGAUUAAUAUUUUAUAUGAAAACCUUGAAUCUAGGAAUUCUUGUAAUUUGUUAAUAAAAUAAUAAAGUGUUAAAAUUAAUUUGAGGUCUUAUAUUAAAUGCGAUUGGAAUGUGUAAAUUAUAAAUUUUUUAU